UGGUAUAGAGUCGCCGCACUUUGUCGAAA
This 29-nucleotide non-coding RNA is filed under the name Mus musculus (house mouse). Lineage: Eukaryota; Metazoa; Chordata; Mammalia; Rodentia; Muridae. The record is from RNAcentral.